This 393-nucleotide ribosomal RNA is filed under the name uncultured bacterium. Its description in RNAcentral is "bacterial SSU rRNA". It matches the Rfam family "Bacterial small subunit ribosomal RNA", at positions 30 to 423 of the family's 1533-position model. The record is from RNAcentral.
AUUGAACGCUGGCGGCAUGCCUUACACAUGCAAGUCGAACGGCAGCACGGGAGCAAUCCUGGUGGCGAGUGGCGAACGGGUGAGUAAUAUAUCGGAACGUGCCCAGUCGUGGGGGAUAACGUAGCGAAAGCUACGCUAAUACCGCAUACGAUCUAUGGAUGAAAGCGGGGGAUCGCAAGACCUCGCGCGAUUGGAGCGGCCGAUAUCAGAUUAGGUAGUUGGUGGGGUAAAAGCCUACCAAGCCUUCGAUCUGUAGCUGGUCUGAGAGGACGACCAGCCACACUGGAACUGAGACACGGUCCAGACUCCUACGGGAGGCAGCAGUGGGGAAUUUUGGACAAUGGGGGAAACCCUGAUCCAGCCAUGCCGCGUGUGCGAUGAAGGCCUUCGGUU